Molecule: non-coding RNA, 115 nt
Organism: Triticum aestivum (bread wheat)
Lineage: Eukaryota; Viridiplantae; Streptophyta; Magnoliopsida; Poales; Poaceae
Source: Rfam
UUUCUACUCCCUCCGUUCCAAAUUACUCGCCACAGAAAUGGAUGUAUCUAGAACUAAAAUACAUCUAGAUACAUCCAUACCCGCAACAAGUAAUUCAGAACGGAGGGAGUACUAG